This is a long non-coding RNA of Chinchilla lanigera (long-tailed chinchilla), 507 nucleotides long. RefSeq lists it as uncharacterized. The transcript has 3 exons. NCBI's taxonomy places the organism in Eukaryota, Metazoa, Chordata, Mammalia, Rodentia, Chinchillidae. The record is from RefSeq and is a predicted model, not a curated record.
GCCUCACAACAGCGUUGAAAGAGGACCUGCUGUUCUCCUCAUGUUCCAGGAAAGGGACUGAGCGUCAGAGAGGCUAUUACCCACCUUGACCAUGCAGCUGUGCUCGGGAAAAGGCAGCCUCCAGCCCAGGCCUCUUCAACUCCAAAGGUCCUACCCAGGCAGUAGUGGGGAGCAGGUACCAGAGAGCAGCUGUGGGCAUUCUGCGGGCCCACUUUCCCUCACCCUAGGUGUGCACCUGGUGGCCAGGGAAAGGGACCAGCAUGCUGGCUUGUUGACGCUUCAGUUCACCAUUCAUGCUUUUGUUCAGCAAUCACGCUUUUGUUGUCUGCCCCCGCGCGCCCACCCUACACACUGACACCAUCACACACCCACGCGUUUCUGCCGCCUCCUAAGCGUCACCUGCCUCCUCGGCGCAGGUGCACCCCACCUGGGGCUCGGCCUUUCCGUCCGUCCUUGGGAGCUGCAUGGCUUCCCCCCUCUUGCUCCCGCUCUCUGUUCUCCGAGGCA